UACGUAGGUGGCAAGCGUUGUCCGGAUUUACUGGGCGUAAAGGGCGCGCAGGCGGUCGUUCAAGUCGCGUGUGAAAGCCCCCGGCUCAACUGGGGAGGGUCACGCGAUACUGAUCGACUCGAAGGCAGGAGAGGGAAGUGGAAUUCCCGGUGUAGUGGUGAAAUGCGUAGAUAUCGGGAGGAACACCAAUGGCGAAGGCAGCUUGCUGGGACGGUACUGACGCUGAGGCGCGAAAGCGUGGGGAGCAAACAGG
This 253-nucleotide ribosomal RNA is filed under the name uncultured bacterium. RNAcentral's name for it is "partial 16S ribosomal RNA". It matches the Rfam family "Bacterial small subunit ribosomal RNA", at positions 524 to 776 of the family's 1533-position model. The record is from RNAcentral.